This 6252-nucleotide long non-coding RNA is filed under the name Solanum tuberosum (potato). Its description in RNAcentral is "long non-coding RNA (STUB_LNC005627)". The record is from RNAcentral. Lineage: Eukaryota; Viridiplantae; Streptophyta; Magnoliopsida; Solanales; Solanaceae.
CGUUUUGUACCCAAAUUUGGAGACGACCGUUUCAUUCCAAUUCCUCAAAGAUCCGCUCCGCUCUAACAAAAAGGUACACCACACCUCCUUUAUUUUUCAUUUGUUAUUUUUCUGAAUUUUCCUUUCAAUCGGAAUAUUUUCUUUUGCAGAUCUAUCAAAAAAUUCUUACUGUGGAGCAUCUUAUGUCUUCAUUUGCUUGGUUUAUGUGUUGUUCAAUGUUCUAUUUGUUAAUUUGAUUUGUUACCUUUCGUUUAAACUUAAUGUCAAUUUGGUUGGUUUGUUGAAUCCAGAAAGAUCCUUUGAACUUUUAUUUUCCUUUGUUUACUCGGUUUGCUAGCUUCUUCAUUUUAAUAUUUCUCAAUCUUUUAUUUCUUAUAGCAUGAUAGAAUUAGUUGUUUUGCUAUGUGCUUUGAUACACAAUUUAAUAUGUCAAGAGCUUGUUCUCUAGCUCUUGGUACUGUUCAUUAAAUUUCUUCAAUAAAAUAGACUGUGCUAGACUUCAUGUACAAUGGAGAACUUAGCAAAUGACUUCUUCAUUGUGAGUGAUGCAAAUUACUUUUGUCAGGUGAUCUUCUCAUUCUUCUUCUUUACAUCUAUAGUUCCUCAAAAUAUAAUUAAAAAACAAGUUAUGUAGUUCCGACUUGUGAGAAUCUACAAAGCCGUUUUGUGACAACGAGAUAGGCUUCAAUCUAAAAAAAUACUUUGAACCUGGGUAUAUUUAAUUGAUUUUGUUUAUUACAUUGUGGUGGUUUUUUCCCACCAUAAUAUUGCUUCAAAUUUAAAAGUGGUUCCUCUUGAACCAACUCAAGUUGAACGGUUGGAAAGUUACAUGGACUCUACCUUUGAAUAAUACUACAAGCAACAUCAUAUUCUUAAAGUAAUUGUUGGUUGAAUAAGAUGUGGAUCCUAAGUGCAACACCUCGAAAGUAGAAAAGUUGAAUUGGAAAUUUUUUUUGCAGAAAAGUUGCUAGUGCAACUAGUGUACGAGGGCAAGUACUGUACUUCGUUCCACGGUCUGUAGGUGCCAAUCGUAAAUGACAUCAUGAGUUGAUGAAAUUGUCAAGUCUCUGACCUUAACACAUGAUCCGAUAGGAUAACUCGUUGUUAGGUAGAUGGGUGGUGAUUGAGUCUCGUGGUUGUAGCCUUUAGAAAGUUGAGUUUUCCACACUUGAGUUCAACAAAGGGUCAAUACGGACUGUAGAAGGAAAUACAUUCCGAACAGGGGUGUCUGGACUUAGGAUAAUUUUCCAAGCUCUUGUUCUACAAGUCGGAUGUGCAGGCCGUAAAAGAGAUAACGAACCAUAGACCUUGGCCUGUGGUUUUUAUUCAAAAAGUUAGAUUUUCAGCACUUGUUUUAUGGAUGACUAUUACAGUCCGUAGAAGGGAGUACGGACCGUACAUGGAGUUGUAGAAAUGUUGCGACAAAAUUUUCUUAGGGUUAUUUAGGUCUUUUCCUACAUUUUUAAUCUUUACAGUACGUCGUUUCUAGACUAUUCCUAAGACCUAUAACUGUUUCUAAGGUCAAAACCCUCCCCAUUGACUCUCAAACCCCAAAAGCUCUCAAGUCUUCUUCUCAAGGAUUCUUUAAAGGUGAUUUAGGAUUUCUUCAAGCUUUACGUCUCCUCUUCCAAGUUCAAAACUAGGGUUCAUCAAGGCAUGAGGAAAAUUCAGCAAUGGGUCCUCUCCACCCAGUGAGUCCCAAAAGAAACCUAAAAUCUCUCUUAUGAUUUCUAUAUCCAAAUUUCUAGGGUUUUCAUGAUUCUUCCAUGGGUUUAAUUGAAGUAAGGUUUUCUCUCCAUGAAUGAUUUUACUGUCAAGACCCAAGGUGCUAUUGGGUUAUGAAGGGUGAUUAGGGCGUCAUGCGGAAACUUACAAUUUGCAAAUCAUAUAGUUGAUAAAUCAGAUAACAAAAAAAGUUAUACUAAAAAAAUCAAAAUAUUAUUAUAUCAAAACUAAUAUAAAGAAAAACAUUGAAACUUUAGAGAGAAUAAAUCUCCCCCAUAAACUAGACUCUUAAACGACUAUAUUGUGGAUGUUAUUGUUAUUGUGUUAGAAGAAUCAAAUAUAUAUUAUUUAUAGAGUCCUAAAACCUUUUCUUUUUAGAAAAGGACUAGCUACUCCAAAACUUUUUUCCUAAAAGGAAAGAAUAAACCAAAUAUGAAAGAAUAUUAUAUUUUCCUUUCAGGAAAAGUAAAAACAUUUAUGUUAAUGUUUUGUCUUUUCUUUAAGGAAAAAAAAAUCUUAAAUUAUGGUAAGAAAAUCAGGGCAAAAUCCUAACAAAUCUCCCCUUUUUGGCUGAAUUUUCUUGACAAAGUUUGAUCUGUCUUCUUCAUUGCAUGAUAAUCUUGUUCUUCACAAAAUCUUCAUCAUUGUUGCUUGCCAUGGUUAAAAAUAAAGUUUAAAAUAUAUGGGUUAAAAAUAUAUAUUUUUUAUUCUUAAAAAUUGCAGCAACAGGAAUGUUGAAAAUAUGAUUGAAACUUCUUCUCCACAUGUAGCUUGACAAAAAUCUUCAUUAUCAUCAAAUUGAUUACAAAUUGAUUUGAAACCAUUUUUAAGCUUGUCUUCAACCUCGUUGAACCAUAGCACCACCGGAUCUUUGAACCAUGUGCUAUGAUACCACUUGUUGGGUUAUGAAGGGUGAUAAGGGCGUCAUGCGGAAGCUUACAAUUUGCAAAUCAUAUGUUGAUAAAUCAGAUAACAAAAAACUUAUACUAAAAAUCAAAAUAUUAUUAUAUCAAAACUAAUAUAAAGAAAAACAUUGAAUCUUUAGAGAGAAUAAAUCUCCCCAUAAACUAGACUCUUAAACGACUACAUUGUGGAUGUUAUUGUUAUUGUGUUAGAAGAAACAAACCUAUAUUUAUAGAGUCCUAAAACCUUUUUCUUAUUAGAAAAUGACUAGUUACUCCAAAACCUUUUUCCUAAAAGGAAAGAAUAAACCAAAUAUGAAAGAAUAUUAUGAAAGGAAAAGUAAAAACAUUUAUGUUAAUGUUUUGUCUUUUCUUUAAGGAAAAAUAAAUCUUAAAUUAUGGUAAGAAAAUCAGGGUAAAACCCUAACAGGUACACCCUAGAAGUGACAUGGUGUAUAGGAUCCUGAGAGGCCCUACACAAGUUACUUGACACAUAUAUACACAGUACAAUAGACAAAAAUAGGAAAUCUCAUACGAAUAAAAGAGUUUGACAUUAAAGCGGAAGUCUAUCAUAGUCUUGAUAAGUCAUCUAGUACAUCAAAAGAAGUGGUGGGGAUGUAACCCGUAUAGCACGUACAACAUCCGAAAUGUAAAGAAAUAUGAAAGCAAUAAAGGUGACAUGAUCCUCGAAAUAUGAGGACUCACCAAGUCUUCAAAUCUUUAAAGUGAUCAACUAGCCAUGAGGGAGAGGAGAGGAAGUGUCACACCCUACAUUAGUGAAACAAUGUAGGCACAAGUAUGCAUUAGUACAUGGAAUGUACUAAGUACGAAGGAUAUGCAUGGAAACAUAAAACAUGAUAAUAAGUAAACAUAACCGAAAACAUGACCAAGCUAAACAUAGUAAAAUAUUUUUAAGAGACAUAAUAAAUCACGAACAUGGUCAAUGCAUCUCAAAUUCAUAAGAAAAGCUCCAUUAAAUCUUUAAGGACAACUUAGUUCAUUUUGUGGGAUAUUUACUAAUAAUCGACAUAGACCACGUGAGCUAUAAUGUGGAAUCUAGUGUCUUUCUCAUAUACCGAAAAGAAAUGUCCUUAAUUUCUAAGGUAAGGACCUUAACUUCUAGCUUACGUGGAUCCACUAUCUAUGUUACUUAAGACAAUCCUACAGGGGCACGUAGUUAGGGACAAUGAGAUUUCUAUUAGAGACUCGGACUCCUAAUGGGAGAGCUUCCAUAUCAAUAUCCUCUCGGUGCUAAGUAAAAUCUCAAAGGAAUAUUCAUAAACAUAUUAUUAUCAUACAUGGAAAAGCACAAUUAAGUUACAAAUACAAGCUUAAAACAUCAUAUAGUAGCUCCUUAAACCAUGUGUGAGAAAAUAUUUCACCAAUCAUGAUUCCUUAAUUGUGAGAAACCUUUUAAAAUUAAAAACCCCGGGUCCUGAUGGAUGCUAAUUUUAAAUGGGAGCUUGCUUCCUUCCUUUUGAUCUGCCUUUCCAAUUAAAGGAAAAAAUUAUUUCCCACCAUAUUCCUAGAUAACCACAUUGUAAGGACUAGGGGUGUUCACGGGUUGGUUUGGAUCGGUUAUUGGUCAAAACCAAAACCAAAUCAACUUAAUCGGUUUUAAAAUUAUCAAAACCAAACCAAACCAAAUAUAAUAUACAUUUAUCGGUUUGGUGAUUAUCGGUUUCGGUUUGGUUUGGUUCGGUUAUUCGGUUAUUAACCAUACACAAAAAUAAAAGAAACAAUUCAUUUAAAAUAUGAAAAAAGUGACAACAAUCCAUUCUAAACGAAAAAUAGUUAGAAUGACUUAAAUUACUGAACUUUCGAUCACUAAAUUUACUAUCAAUAAAGCUUUAAAAUUCACUAUAUUGGCCUAGAAGGAAGAGACAAUAACAUUUUCAGUUCCACAAGAAUUGUCAUAGACACUCAUAUACAUGAAAUCAAUAAGAUAAAUGUUUCAUCUUGGGCAUUUUUGCUUUCAAUAAGUAAAUUAUAAAGAAAUUUUAAUGAAAAUAUGUAUAAGAUCUUUAAAAUUGUUUAUAAAAACAAUAUAUUAAGUAUGUAUAUUAAUAAAAUAUAUGUAUAUAAUUCAUCGGUUCGGUUCGGUUAUUUCUUAAAAACAAUAUAUUAAGUAUGUAUAUUAAUAAAAUAUAUGUAUAUAAUUCAUCGGUUAGGUUCGGUUCGGUUAUUUCUUUGGGUUUUUUUGAAUAAAACCAUAACCAAAUCAAAUACUAUCGGUUUUCAAAAAUCUAAAACCAAACCAAACCAAACCCAAAUAAAAUCAGUUUUAUUUUAUCGAUUUGGUUUGAUUUUUCUGUUUGAAUCGGUUUUUAUCCAAACCGUGAACACCCCUAGUAAGGACUCUUAUAUUUGGGGUCUGACUUCCACUGGCUCAUUCACAACCAAGUCCUUAUAUAAUGCCUUGUUGACUCAGUCUGAUAAUCAUCAUUCAUCUCAUCCUUCCCAAUUCUCCUUCGAGUGGAUCUGGAAGGUGCCGCUUCCGUAAAAAAAUAUCGACUUUAAAUGGCUCACUUGUCACCAACAUCUCCCAACUGCAUCAUACCUCCAUCGAAUUGGCAUAGCCACAUCUUCUCUUUACUUGCAGUGAAAAAUUCAACUGAAACUAUAUCCCAUCUCUUGCUUUUCUGACCUACCUCUAUUGCAUUAUGAACAAAUUUUGGGCUUCACUCAAUCAUCUUGUCCAUUAAUACCCAUAACACAUCGCGUCUCACUUAAUUAUCUUUUUUGAUUCGUGUGAUUCCAUUCAAUAUAUUCCCUAAUGUUCCUUCUGAGAUGCUUCUUGGUUUUGGAAAAAUUGUAAUAACAAUUUCUUUAACAAUACUUUCAAUAUUCCUGAUCACAAAGCAGACAUCGUUCGUAUAAUGGAAUUUUUCAGUUUAGGUCAUAAGCCAAAAACUAAACAUUUUUCGUACGCCUAUCUGGAUUACUUGGCUGCCCCUGGAACAAAAAUCCUUUAAGUUAAGCAUUGAUGGCGCGUUUGAUAUCAUCUUUGGUAAAGAAGGCCUAGGUAGGUUUAUUCGUGAUCAUGUGGGAAACUGGGUUCUGGGUUUCACACACUCCAUUUGUGAUACUGACAGUUUAUAGGCUGAAUUAUUGGCCCUCUACAAUGGCCUUAAACUUGCCUUACUGCACAAUUUACAACCUUUAAUCAUUGAGCUCGAUGCUACUCAAGUGAUUAUCCUUUUACACUCUCUCAUUUUAUCAUAUGCUCACAUUAUACAUGAUUGCAGGUAGAUGCUCCAUCAACUCACUAAUUCAAGCAUAGUGCACUCAUACAUGAAAGUAAAUAACAUCGCGGAUAGGCUUGCUAAACCAGCUUUAACUGGCAACUUCUUGUAGGACAUCUCCAUUUUGGAUGAACCACCUCCUCUUGUUCAAACUUCACUUGCAGGUAACCAAUGGGCUCAAGCUACUAAAACACUCGUACUAGCUGCAACUUUUCCUUCAAGCCGUCGAAAUAGUUCUAAUGUCCUUCUAACUAGCGUAGAUUUACCAAUAUAGUAACUACUUUUUUCUGUAACUUAGACCAUGUGGGUCUGUGAUGGCCACCGGCCAUUACUCCAUGUACUCCUUUAAGUUUUUAAUAAAAUGUUUUAUCUUUCCUUAC